UUAUCGGAUGGAAUUGCUGUGUUCCUAUUGAUUUAUUCCUAACACCACCUGGAGUGAAAUAGUUAAGUUGCUCCUGUUGCGGGUUCUGAAAACCUCAGUAACAGAUCAUCUGUUUUAUGCAAAUAUU
Long non-coding RNA from Dermochelys coriacea (leatherback sea turtle), 127 nucleotides. RefSeq lists it as uncharacterized. NCBI's taxonomy places the organism in Eukaryota, Metazoa, Chordata, Testudines, Dermochelyidae. The transcript has 4 exons. The record is from RefSeq and is a predicted model, not a curated record.